This 87-nucleotide unclassified non-coding RNA is filed under the name Lutibacter oricola. Its description in RNAcentral is "Flavo-1 RNA". Lineage: Bacteria; Pseudomonadati; Bacteroidota; Flavobacteriia; Flavobacteriales; Flavobacteriaceae. The record is from RNAcentral.
AACUUGCGUUAGAGAUAGAACGGUGUGUUUGAGCUCUUUUUUAGUUUUUUCAACUAAAAAAAGCGAGUAGAGAUAGCGCGACCUGAA